Long non-coding RNA from Aricia agestis (brown argus), 297 nucleotides. RefSeq lists it as uncharacterized. The transcript is spliced from 3 exons. The record is from RefSeq and is a predicted model, not a curated record. NCBI's taxonomy places the organism in Eukaryota, Metazoa, Arthropoda, Insecta, Lepidoptera, Lycaenidae.
CGUUAACAAAAUGUAGGGUAAGGGCGCCAGUAGUCAGCCCCACACCAGUAGUCAGCCUUUUCCAGCUAAAAACCUAUAGAAAUAGCGUUCUAUUGCAAAUUAACCAAUCAAGUUACUUUUAAAAAAGCUUGGCCUUCUUAUUGUUCAGUUCAGAACGUCACAAUGACGCUAAGUGGCUGCAAGAAAUGGUAAUCUGAUUCCAAUUCGACGUUGUCACUAGUCGAGCCAAGAUGCGGCUUGCGCGCCAAAAUUUUCUUAGUGGGAAGUGCCCGACAAAAAGUUCCAUAGGUCUCUUUC